Molecule: ribosomal RNA, 474 nt
Filed under: uncultured bacterium
Lineage: Bacteria
Description: SSU rRNA
Rfam family: Bacterial small subunit ribosomal RNA
Source: RNAcentral
AGGAUGAACGCUGGCGGCGUGCCUAACACAUGCAAGUCGAACGUCCUGUCUCGCAAGAGGCAGGGAGUGGCGGACGGGUGAGUACCACGUGGGUCAUCUACCGUGAGGUGAGGAAUACCGGCGAGAAAUCGCCGACAAGACCGCAUAGGCUCGAUGCAAGUCGAGCAAAGCUCUUUCGAGAGAGGGAGCGCCACACGAGGAGCCUGCGCCCGAUUAGCUAGCUGGUGGAGUAAUGGUUCACCAGGGCGACGAUCGGUAGCUGGUCUGAGAGGACGAUCAGCCACACUGGGAUUGAGAACGGCCCAGACUCCUACGGGGGGCAGCAGUGAGGAAUUUUCGUCAAUGGGGGCAACCCUGAACGAGCAACGCCGCGUGCAGGAAGAAGGUUUUCGGAUCGUAAACUGCUUUUCUCGGGAAGAGAACGGACGGUACCCGAGGAAUCAGCCCGGCUAACUACGUGCCAGCAGCCGCGGU